This 199-nucleotide ribosomal RNA is filed under the name uncultured Stichotrichia. RNAcentral describes it as "partial Bacterial large subunit ribosomal RNA". It matches the Rfam family "Bacterial large subunit ribosomal RNA", at positions 506 to 709 of the family's 2925-position model. Lineage: Eukaryota; Ciliophora; Spirotrichea. The record is from RNAcentral.
AGGGAAAGGUGAAAAGAACCCCUGCGAGGGGAGUGAAAAGAAUCUGAAACCGUGCGUCUACAAGCAGUUGAAGUACAUCAACGUACGACAGCGUGCCUUUUGCAUAAUGAGCCUGCGAGUAACGGUAAGUGGCAAGGUUAAGGCGAUAGCCGCAGCCGAAGCGAAAGCGAGUCUGAAUAGGGCGUCAAGUCGCUUGCCG